CAGGAAUCUAGGAAACUUCACCUGCACUGUCCAGUAUCCAGCUCUUACAGUGAUUUUUGAAGUCUCACGGUGAUAUUGAUGUGAAAACGGACUCAAUGAAUAAACUUCAUGAACAUCAGUAAAGUGUUGGCCAUCAUUCGGGCGUGGUCCGCUACAGGAUAUUACCACUUGUAUUCUACAAAUGCAUUAGCAUUAUUCUGAAGUGACAACAAUAAAACCUUACUUCUGAUUAAAA
This is a long non-coding RNA of Esox lucius (northern pike), 235 nucleotides long. RefSeq lists it as uncharacterized. The record is from RefSeq and is a predicted model, not a curated record. NCBI's taxonomy places the organism in Eukaryota, Metazoa, Chordata, Actinopteri, Esociformes, Esocidae. The transcript is spliced from 2 exons.